Molecule: unclassified non-coding RNA, 25 nt
Filed under: Mus musculus (house mouse)
Lineage: Eukaryota; Metazoa; Chordata; Mammalia; Rodentia; Muridae
Description: oocyte_clustered_small_RNA7066
Source: RNAcentral
UGCAGCUUCUGCGGCCUCACCUCAG